UACCCAAACUUUUCAGUUGCUGGAAAAUGUGGUGACUCAAAGAGUAUAAUUUGUGUACCUCUUCCUUUAGGUCACGAAUCUCUCAAUUUCACGAGGCUGGCUCUGAGAUUUCUAUUGUCCUUGGCAGAUUCCUGGAAAUACAGGUUGCAUUGCCAGAACAUGUGCAGCAUCAGCUGUUGGACUUCACCUAGUUGGGCCAUUAGGAUUCAAGGUUGAUGAUGCAAAGUUAAAGCGAGCUGGAUUGGACUAUUGGCCAUAUGUGGUUGUUAAAGUUCACAGCUCAUGGGCAGAGUUCCAAGACUAUUUCAGGCAACAGGAUGGUGAAAAGCGGUUGCUCGCAUUUACAAAGAGAGGAACAAGUUUUCAUUCAGUAAGUUAUUGCCAUUUCAGUCUCACCGUCCUUCAGGAUUUUAUCCUGAUAAAUCUUCAUAACAAUCAAACCAGCAGUGAUAACCUUUGUCUGCUCGUUUUUUGUUUUUUCUGCUGUCUAUGUUCGUAGUUAGUUAAAUACCUCUGAUAUGUUUUAGUGCCUUUACUUUUCUUUCUGCCUGAACAUUCCCUUUUAGGGAGAGAGCUUAAUCAUUCUUGGUUUGGGUUCCUUGGUAAACAUCAAUGUUCUGAAUCAAACCUAACUUGAACAAUGAAUUUAUUUUUCUUAUGUAGAUGUCUUUUAUUUGUGACAUUGGCCGGUUGAUCUAAUAUGUUGUAAAUGCUGGCAGUAAUUGCAUUUCAUACACUCGAUUUUCAUUUUUCUUUCCUUGAAUCUUUUAGAGUCUUUUACAUUUGUCCAUUAUUCCAAUAAACUUGGGAAGAAAGGAUGCAGCAUGCUCGCAAGCAGUUGGCUGGUAAAUUUUGAUACUUGGUCACUCACAUAGAAAGCAAUACUGAAUUUCAAGGUGUUUGGUGGUCAUUGAUGGCUACAUCCCAUUAACUGUCAUGAGAUCAUGCGAACUGAUAGGCUGUCAAUUUGACAAUAGUCAUGCUGCCAAAACACUUUCCACAAUAUGCUUCUCUCAUAUUAAACAAGUGUAAACAAUUUACUCACAUUUCAGA
This is a non-coding RNA of Prunus avium (sweet cherry), 1053 nucleotides long. Lineage: Eukaryota; Viridiplantae; Streptophyta; Magnoliopsida; Rosales; Rosaceae. The record is from RefSeq and is a predicted model, not a curated record.